Molecule: ribosomal RNA, 115 nt
Filed under: Propithecus coquereli (Coquerel's sifaka)
Lineage: Eukaryota; Metazoa; Chordata; Mammalia; Primates; Indriidae
Source: RNAcentral
GUCUAUGGCCAUACCACCCUGAACGUGCCCUAUCUCAUCUGAUCUUGGAAACUAAGCAGGGUCAGGCCUGGUUACUACUUGGAUGGGAGAAAAUGAAAACUGAUUAUUGUAUCAA